UGGGGAAUAUUGGACAAUGGGCGGAAGCCUGAUCCAGCCAAGCCGCGUGUGUGAAGAAGGCCUUUUGGUUGUAAAGCACUUUAAGCGAGGAGGAGGCUACUUGGAUUAAUACUCUAGGAUAGUGGACGUUACUCGCAGAAUAAGCACCGGCUAACUCUGUGCCAGCAGCCGCGGUAAUACAGAGGGUGCGAGCGUUAAUCGGAUUUACUGGGCGUAAAGCGUGCGUAGGCGGCUUCUUAAGUCGGAUGUGAAAUCCCUGAGCUUAACUUAGGAAUUGCAUUCGAUACUGGGAAGCUAGAGUAUGGGAGAGGAUGGUAGAAUUCCAGGUGUAGCGGUGAAAUGCGUAGAGAUCUGGAGGAAUACCGAUGGCGAAGGCAGCCAUCUGGCCUAAUACUGACGCUGAGGUACGAAAGCAUGGGGAGCAAACAGG
Molecule: ribosomal RNA, 430 nt
Filed under: Bacillota bacterium
Lineage: Bacteria; Bacillati; Bacillota
Description: Firmicutes bacterium partial 16S ribosomal RNA
Rfam family: Bacterial small subunit ribosomal RNA
Source: RNAcentral